This 442-nucleotide ribosomal RNA is filed under the name uncultured bacterium. RNAcentral describes it as "partial 16S ribosomal RNA". It matches the Rfam family "Bacterial small subunit ribosomal RNA", at positions 338 to 795 of the family's 1533-position model. The record is from RNAcentral.
CCUACGGGCGGCAGCAGUAGGGAAUCUUUCACAAUGGGCGAAAGCCUGAUGGAGCAACGCCGCGUGCAGGAUGAUGGCCUUCGGGUUGUAAACUGCUUUUAUAAGCGAGAAAUAUGAUGGUAACUUAUGAAUAAGGAUCGGCUAACUACGUGCCAGCAGCCGCGGUCAUACGUAGGAUCCGAGCAUUAUCCGGCGUGACUGGGUGUAAAGAGUUGCGUAUGUGGCAUAAUAAGUAGCUAGUGAAAUCUGGUGGCUCAACCAUUCAGACUAUUAGCUAAACUGUUAAGCUCGAGAGCGUUAGGGGUAACUGGAAUUUCUAGUGUAGGAGUGAAAUCCGUAGAUAUUAGAAGGAACACCAAUAGCGUAGGCAGGUUACUGGGACGGUUCUGACACUAAGGCACGAAAGCGUAGGGAGCAAACGGGAUUAGAUACCCCGGUAGUC